Molecule: unclassified non-coding RNA, 188 nt
Filed under: Glomus sp.
Lineage: Eukaryota; Fungi; Glomeromycota; Glomeromycetes; Glomerales; Glomeraceae
Description: partial contains 5.8S ribosomal RNA and internal transcribed spacer 2
Rfam family: 5.8S ribosomal RNA (bases 1-65)
Source: RNAcentral
GUGAAUCAUCGAAUUUUUGAACGCAAAUUGCACUCUCCUCUGAGAGUAUGCCUGUUUCAGGUUCAGCCUAUAUAAAAUCCACAUCGUUUCUGUUUCGCGGUGGCGUUCGUCGGAAAUUGGGUCAUCUUAACUCCUUUUGAUUUAAGCGACUUAUAAUUUUCUUUUGGUUCCUUGAACGUUUCUUUGAU